UACGGAGGGUGCAAACGUUGCUCGGAAUCAUUGGGCGUAAAGCGCACGUAGGCGGUCCGGUAAGUCGGGUGUGAAAGCCCUCGGCUCAACUGAGGAAGUGCAUUCGAAACUACCGGACUUGAGUAUGGAAGAGGGUCGCGGAAUUCCCGGUGUAGAGGUGAAAUUCGUAGAUAUCGGGAGGAACACCAGUGGCGAAGGCGGCGACCUGGUCCGAUACUGACGCUGAGGCGCGAAAGCGUGGGGAGCAAACAGG
RNAcentral lists this ribosomal RNA (253 nucleotides) under uncultured bacterium. Its description in RNAcentral is "partial 16S ribosomal RNA". It matches the Rfam family "Bacterial small subunit ribosomal RNA", at positions 524 to 776 of the family's 1533-position model. The record is from RNAcentral.